GGCAACGAGCCCUACUCAGCGCACUGCGUCUGCGCCGGGGCUCACUCCACGGCCGCGCGCGCCCACAGAGCAUGGCUGCCAGUGAACCUCCUCCGCCUGAGUCGUCCCCGAACGUGGAGAACGAGGCUGCCCAGCAGCACAGGCCCUCGGUCUCCUGGAAAUUAACCUCGCCCGCCGACGCGGCCGCCAGGAAGACCAGUGGCAUUUACCCGGCCUCAGCCGCGUUCCAGCGCCACCGGCUCAUCAGCCGCCCCGAAAUCAACUUAGGGACCCAGCCGCAGAUCUGUUUCCUGCAGCCGCGGACCUCGCAGCCGCUAGUGCUCUUCAGCUUAAUGAAUUCCAGCGAAGCGGCCGUGACAAAAUUUUUACCCAAGAGCCACUUAUCUCGGGUGAUUAUUCGUGACAACCUCAGUGCGCAACGAAUCUAUGAGUUGGAGAUGAAAACGGUAGAAAAGACCAAGAAAAAGAUGAGCCACUUGCAUGACCACCUGAAAAAAAAGUUCUUGAUGGACCAGUUGAGAAAGCUGGGGCGCUGGAGACGGGAGUUCCUCAGUGUCCGGCAGUACCUGGACAGCAUCCGUGCGCGCAGGGUUGACUCCAGCCUAAAAGAAAAACCCAGCCGCCUUAAUCAAGGUAGAAGCUCCACCCCAGAGCCAUGACAACGCUAGACUGACAGGGGGAGAAGACGUAGAAGCCAGCCACAGGAGAAGGAGAUGUAGAAGCCAGCCAGCACCAUCGUAGAACAAUAAACUGAGACCAACGGACAGUGGAGUACAGAAACCCUAGCAAUUCUAAUAUCCUUGCCCUGCCUCGUUCCCUCUGUUCUGGUGAAGGAGAUCCUGAUCGUCCCCUAGCUGCCUGAGUGGAGGAGGCUUAACCAAGCCAGCAUCAUGGUUAAGGCCAAGGUCGACCUUCUGUGCCCAUGUGUCUGAGGUGGAAUGCCAGGCCAAGGGCACUGGGCAGUGGCACCUUAGAUGGCAGUAUAUAAUAAACAUAGACCCACACCACCUGGGGCAGGGAAGUGGGGAUGACUGCUCCAGCCCACUGCCCUGCCUCUCUAUACUCAAGUUUGCAAAGUAUAGGUAACAUUUUUCCCAGACAGAAAACGUAAGGCUCUUCUCUCAUGUGACUGAACUAAAUAUCUGAGGUCAUCUAGGACUUGCAGUGUGGAUGUUGGCAACACAGAAUAGAGCCCUCCUGAUUCUGGUAGUUACAUUCUGCCCCACACAGAGCUUCCAGCCAGAUAUUCUCAAAGGGACCAGAGGUAAUAUAGAUCUAGUAGUAUAAUAGCAGGCGAAACCUACACCAACGCAUUUUCAGAAUGUCCACAAGAGGGCACUAUUGCAACACCUCCCUGCAGGGUGAGAGCCCUCUAGGUCUAUCAAUUGGGUCUUUUCAGACUAGAAUUGAUUACGAGGGUGCUGUUCUCAGAAUGUCCACAUGAGGGCACUAUUGCAACACAUUCCUGCAGGGUGAGAGCCCUCUUCAUUGGAUUGCAGAAAGCCGCCAACCUGUGAUGUGAACAGCAGCUUUCCUUCCACACUUGUGCUCUUAGCUACAUGCUGCCUAUCUCCCUCUUAGCUCAUGCAUCUCCUUUCCUGGGUAAAAUGAGACAAACCAGCACGUACCUUAGUGUCUAUGGCUGGCUACAAGCUUAUGAAUGAAGACCAAUGGGAGCUGGAAGGACUGGGUUCUUACCCAGUUGUUGUCAAUGUGACCUUGGACUCAGGCAUAUGGGGACAGGGUUCCUGCCAUCUCACAGGGCUGAGCUCAGGCAGAAGUAAUGGUUGGGGCCGGCUCUGCAGCACAGGUCGGUUCAGCUAUCCCAGAACCUUCUAGCCCACAGGGGACUUCACUUCUUCACUCUAGCUUUCCUGCUCCUAAGGCCCUCAGGGACAGCCUGACAGCUAGUUCUCCAAGGGAUAGCAUUUGACACUUUAAAAGUGAAAAAUCUGCCCUAGCCAGUUUGGCUCAGUGGAUAGACUGUUGGCCUGCGGACUG
Myotis brandtii (Brandt's bat) is the source of this 2001-nucleotide RNA transcript. It is a transcript of the gene named chromosome unknown open reading frame, human C5orf52, with no coding region annotated. Lineage: Eukaryota; Metazoa; Chordata; Mammalia; Chiroptera; Vespertilionidae. The transcript has 4 exons. The record is from RefSeq and is a predicted model, not a curated record.